GCGUGUGGCGCGAGCGGGGCUGAGCGCAGUGUGUUCCUCUGCGCUCCCGGGGCCGCGCCCGGCGGACUGGGAAGUCUCGUGCUGACUGGAUUGUCUUAACUGCUGCUGAAGGAGAGCGGCACCAAUGGAUUAUCAGUCUGACCCAGAGAUGAAACAGCCAGCAAGCUGACAAAGCCUUUAGUUGAUAUGAACAAUUUUGUUGUCCCUGUCUGGUGAAUAAUGUGUCUGCAUAUGAGACAGAUUCUGCACACUUGCCUUUCCUGAUGCAGCCUGACACAGCCAGCAAGAGCAGAAGAUUCAGGAUGAAGCUCAAAUGAUCCUUUCACUAAGGGAAGGAAGAGAAUCUAGGAUGUCUGGGAAUAGCAGGGAGACUCUCCUGGGCACUGCAAAGCCAUGUUCCAGAAACUUUUCUGUGUCUGUAGAGGGAGAUUUUCAGGCUGAACAGGAGCAGACUUGUUGAAUACAUGUCUACAUGAGCUACUCUUUUCUUUGGUGU
Molecule: long non-coding RNA, 496 nt
Organism: Grus americana (Whooping crane)
Lineage: Eukaryota; Metazoa; Chordata; Aves; Gruiformes; Gruidae
Exons: 3
Source: RefSeq, a predicted model, not a curated record